Molecule: long non-coding RNA, 1293 nt
Organism: Talpa occidentalis (Iberian mole)
Lineage: Eukaryota; Metazoa; Chordata; Mammalia; Eulipotyphla; Talpidae
Exons: 3
Source: RefSeq, a predicted model, not a curated record
CUCCAGGACUGGUCGGUCUGUUUCAAAUGGCUUGUCUGCAUUAACAAUGUUCUUCACUUUGAUAGGUCUCAGAUGUCAGUUUUUUGUUGGUUUUCUUAAAAAAUUUUUCUUUCAUUUACAUAUGAACUCCUAAUUAGUUUACAAAUGAAAAUACUUAAAAUGUCUCCCUCUAUCUCCUAGUCUUCCUGGGAAAAUAAAAUGAUAUAAACUGUACAAAAGAAACUUGAAAACAGGCAGUAUUAUAGCCAGUGCUGGCUCAUUCAAGGACAUUUGGAGCAUCACUGCAUUUUCUUCUUGAUGCCAAGGAAGAAUUCUAGUUAAGGCUGUGCAGGUGAAGCUAACCUCUGAUCUAAUCAGGAUGAACAGGCCUUUCUGUGCCCUCUCCUCUUCACAAGACCUUUUACAGUCUCUUCAAAUGUGCAAAACUUGCAAAGUACUCUGCCUCUAUUAUAUACAUAUCAUAGGGAAACUUUCAUAACUUACUAGAUUUUUCCCUCUAAAAGUAAAGGAUAGAAUGAAAGGACGCGGAGUAGGGAGAGAGAAAGGGACUGAAGAUACCAUCACUCUCUAAGUAUUAAAGUUAGGUUCUUUAAUUUAGUUUUAACAGCCAGCGCAAAGCUAACCGGUCCCUCUACAGUAUGAGGACCAAACAUAAGAAAUCUUGGCAUCCAUUAAAAGCCCUCUUAAUAGCACAGUAUCACUAGGUGUCAAGAGAGCAAGAGAAAUCCAUCACAGAGGAGGACUGAGCCAAAGCAGUCCCCUUCUAUAAUUUUUGAAAGUUGUCUGCUUGAAGAUCUUCCUUUGGAGUUCCUUCAAAUAUAACUAACUAGCGAUGUGCAACGUGCAUUACAGAGUAUCUAGAUCUAUGUCAGGGGCAGAGCGUGGCGUCAUGCAGGUAAAAAGAGAACAGUUACGACGCGAAGACAGUCGCCUAGAGUCUCGCCGGAGAACCCCUUCCAAUACCCUUCAUAUUCCUCAGCGCCCCCAGAAAGGUCCAAAUCAGCGAGGUCUUGGGGAACACACUCCUUAGAGAUGCCGGAGAGGGGGCUCCUGAGCAGAGUUGAGCGCGAAAGUUACAUUCUGCGGCCCCCACCUGCAAAAAAUCCCAUCCCAGGCGCCAGCGCCAGAUGGAAAACGAAGAAAAUUCCAAUCUGCCCCUAAAAUCGGUCUUUUGCCUAAGUUUUCUCCUAGCUAGCCGACACUAGCUGGCCCUGCGAACGAGGGUGCACGAUGCUGCGGUUUGGAAGUGUCUGCUGGCAUCUGGGCAAAACACCACGUGAAAAAUAAAAACCA